GAUUGUAUUGGUAGGAUUAAGCUUGCGAGUUUUCAACUGGAGAUUUCUUUUGGGCUUAUCACUCUUAUCUCUGCCCUCAGCCCUUCUUUUAUUAAACCCAAAAGUCUCAUUAUUAUUAGCUUCCAUAGGGAGACCUUUGUCCCUUUCUCUGCUCUUGCUAUUAGUCUCUCUGCUAAAAGUGCUCUUACUUCUGCUUCUAAAACGGAGAGACUGGUGAUUAGGCGUGGUACGGUGUCGUCUCGAAGAAGAACAGAGGACAGUGAACAGAGAAUGAGGCUUGGGUUUAGAGAAAGGGAAUGGCAGAGAGGGCUUUAUAGGCGAGAAGAGGAAGCGCAGAUUUGAGAUUUGGGGCAUUUGCGUUAUUAUUUCUCUCUAGGUAGAGAGAUUUUGCAAGGGUUUUAGAAGAGUGACAGGGGAAGAUGCAGGCGAGGCAAC
Molecule: unclassified non-coding RNA, 435 nt
Filed under: Hevea brasiliensis (rubber tree)
Lineage: Eukaryota; Viridiplantae; Streptophyta; Magnoliopsida; Malpighiales; Euphorbiaceae
Source: RNAcentral